GAAAAACACUUAUGGACUUGAGGUUCAGUGGGUGAGGGGUCCCUUUGAUGCACAAGUUAUGUAUAACAACACAGGAAGAAAGCCUCAUGGGAAGUUUGCCAUUGCUGAUGGAGCUAUUGAUAGCUCUACCAUACAAUUUUUCACCACUGCACAUCCAUCUCAGCCCCAAAGUGCCCAAAGUUCUACACAGAGAGAGGUAUAGCUACAACAAGAGGUUCAAGAGCUAAAAAGACAAAUGUAGGAGGAUCAAGGAACAUUACAUAAAGUGCUUCAAUACAGUCAGCAGAUGUGUCAGUACAUGAUGAGUCAGGGACAGAGAAGCACACCUCCACCACAACUCAAUUUUGCUUCUUUAUUCUCCUCAUUUACUAAUGCUCAGGAUGGAACAUCAAAUUAUUCAAAUGAAUUCCAACAGCAGCCUGAAAGGAACCCUGGUAACACCCAACAUGAUGAUCCAAGCUCUUACAAGCAUAGAAGCAACAAUGAUGACAUGACUGACUGUGAGCGCAAUGAGCUUCGAAUGUGGUUCAGGCCAAAUGUAUAAGUGUCAUGGUGGAAUCAUUCUAUUAUGUUUCCAACAACUGAAGUCUAUCAUCAGCUUAGUUAUGAUCAUCAAAAGAUUGAGUCAGACAUGUUUCUAGGUUACUAUCAUGCAGAGUCCAUGUUUUAGCACCUACUGCUAUUUGUAAAAAGAUAUUUAUCUCUGUUGCUACUUCAACAGCUCCUUGGACAUAUAUGUUUGAAUUGAAAUUUGUGUCCAACCUCCAAUGUUAUCUUUGCACAUCAAUUUGUUCA
Molecule: long non-coding RNA, 795 nt
Organism: Panicum virgatum (switchgrass)
Lineage: Eukaryota; Viridiplantae; Streptophyta; Magnoliopsida; Poales; Poaceae
Exons: 3
Source: RefSeq, a predicted model, not a curated record